UUAUAAGCCACCCUAGAAGAAGCUGAGAGGACAGGCUGCUGAACUGGUGGACCACGAAUUAAUGUGGAGAACGAGGCCGUCCGGGCUAGGUUCCCGGGGCUCAAAGACGCAAAGGGAAGGCGACAAAGGUUUCUCACAGGUCGCCGUUAGGGAGAGGGGGCAGCGCAGGAAACCCGUUUAUUUAAAGUUCAGUUGUGUUGGGCAUCUGAUCCAGGACAACUCGCCCAGGAGCCCGGCGGGUUUCAGCUGCCACCACGAAAACGGAGUUUCGCUCUUGUCGCCCAGGCUGGACUGCAAUGGCGCGAUCUCGGCUCACUGCAACCUCGCCUCCCGGGUACAAGCGAUUCUCCUGCCUCAGCCUCCCGAGUAGCUGAGAUCACAGGCGCCGGCCACCACGUCUGGCUAACUUUAGUAGAGACGGGGUUUCACCAUGUGGGUCAGGCUGGUCGCGAACUCCUGACCUCAGGUGAUCCACUCGCCUCGGCCUCCCAAAGUGUUGGGAUUACAGGCGUGAGCCACAGCGCCUGGCCG
RNAcentral lists this long non-coding RNA (531 nucleotides) under Homo sapiens (human). RNAcentral describes it as "HSALNT0292724". The record is from RNAcentral. Lineage: Eukaryota; Metazoa; Chordata; Mammalia; Primates; Hominidae.